CAUCAUUAGCACAUGUACAUGUAGGUUCAUCACUUGUUCCUGCCACAUCAACUGAAAAACGUAGAGCAGAAGUUAUUCCUGAAGUUGCUUAUAGAGUGAUGUCAGAAUGUAUUUCAGAGCUCAAACACUGUGGGAUUGAUCUUCACUUCUUAGCAGAGAAGUUAUUAGAGAAGAAGAUAAUAAAUAAUAGACAAAAGAAGAAAGCCACUGAUGAACACAGUGGACGUACCACUGACCAGAGAAUGGAUCAACUACUUGACCUUAUUAGAGGUUCCAUCAAAAAAGAGGGAAAGGUUUUUGAGUAUAUUUUAGAAAUACUCAAAGACGAAGAUACCAUACUAGCUAACAAACUGUAUGAUGAUAUGAUUAAUAAAUAUGAACAAUAUAAAUAACUGUUGCUGAACACAUGCACACACAUUAUUAUUUGAUUGUUUGUUUGUAUCUUGAUAUUUCUGAGGACACAAAA
This is a long non-coding RNA of Amphimedon queenslandica, 466 nucleotides long. RefSeq lists it as uncharacterized. The record is from RefSeq and is a predicted model, not a curated record. The transcript is spliced from 2 exons. NCBI's taxonomy places the organism in Eukaryota, Metazoa, Porifera, Demospongiae, Haplosclerida, Niphatidae.